ACUCCUACGGGAGGCAGCAGUGGGGAAUUUUGGACAAUGGGGGCAACCCUGAUCCAGCAAUGCCGCGUGUGUGAAGAAGGCCUUCGGGUUGUAAAGCACUUUUGUCCGGAAAGAAAACGCCGUGGUUAAUACCCGUGGCGGAUGACGUACCGAAGAUA
This 158-nucleotide ribosomal RNA is filed under the name uncultured bacterium. Its description in RNAcentral is "partial 16S ribosomal RNA". It matches the Rfam family "Bacterial small subunit ribosomal RNA", at positions 335 to 487 of the family's 1533-position model. The record is from RNAcentral.